This 3139-nucleotide long non-coding RNA is filed under the name Homo sapiens (human). RNAcentral describes it as "long non-coding RNA NONHSAT220489.1". Lineage: Eukaryota; Metazoa; Chordata; Mammalia; Primates; Hominidae. The record is from RNAcentral.
AAUCACUUGAACCCAGUAUGCAGUGAGCCGAGAUUGUGAGUGAGUGAGAUUCCAUCUCAGAAAAAAAUAAAUAAAUAAACUUCAUGGAGCACACAUACCUAAAGGAGCACAGACAUCAAUUUAGAUAGCAUAGCAGAGACAAUACUGUGUUUUCACCAAAUAUGUGAUCUCCCUACUGGCAUACAUAAAGGCUACAUUUGCCUACAUCCUUUGUAGUUAUGUUGGGGUCAUGUGAUGAAGUUCUGGCCAAAGUUAUGUUGGCCAAAUUAAUGCCUAUCAUGUACAAGCACAUCCUUGAAAACCAUGCUUGAUACUUGACAUUCUAUUAUCUUGUCCACAUAGAUUUUGAAAGUCUUACGAUGAAGAUGCCAGAUGUAUCAGAUGGAAGCAUACUGGAUUCCCGAGUCUCCAGUUGGAAGAAAGCUUUCUGACACACACUGUAAUAUCAGUAAAAAUAAGCAACAAUCAUAUUAAGUCACUGAGAUCAGGAGGUGCUUGCUAAAACAGUUAGUUAAUACUAACAGCAGUAAUGCAAACAGUGUGGUUUUAAGAGGAAGACAUCAAGUUUCUUUUUUUUAAUGCAGUAAAUUCCAAAGUCAGAAGCUGAAGUCAGAACUAGUAAGGUAUAUACAUAAAAGAAAAAGGAGUACAGUGAGUGUCCAUGACCUUUUCAGGUAGCUAACCUUGAACAACAUGUAUUUCAUCUUUAUAUUUACAUGAUUUUCAUUUAGUGAGAAAUAAGAUGUUGCAUCUGCUCACAAAUAGAUAGCCUCCUGGGGAGUAUACUUCUCCCAUGAGUGUGUACUCUGAGAAUACAAAAGUUAUAAUAGAAAGUGAAUGGAAUGGAUGUCAGCAGAUUCCUUUAUAUGUUCCAGCAAAAUAUUCUACGUGUAAAGAAAGAAGUAAUAGAAAAUAUGAAUCAAGUUUCAUAAGAGUACUUUUUUCCACACAAAGCAUAAAUUUUACCCUGCAGUAUGCAGUUAUAAAAUCUGUAUUUUAACAGGAAGGAAAUAAACCAAUGUAUAUAAUAUAGUGUUAUUUAUGUACAUUGUGGCAUGUAAGGAUCACAAAAACCUUACGCUAUAUUAUUCCCACUGAGGAGAAACAAUUGGUCACAGAGGUUAAAUAAUUUACUCAAGAUUACAUAAUUUGUAAGAAAGAGUUAAAAUCAAGUUAGUCUGAAUUUCAAACUCAGUUUCAAAUUAUCGCUUUUCUCUGUUAGUGUCAAGCAAUAUUUUAAAUUCACUAACUGGUGAGAACAUUUUACUUUACAUGUGGAUUAAACCACUGCCUAUAUUUUGUCCAUGAUUUUUUUUGAAUUUAGGUAGUAAGAUUUUAGAUGCAAGAGAUAAGUUCCCUUUAAAUAGUUUUUCUAAUUAUGAAAGACAUUAGUAGAUGCUAAGCUUUAUCUUUAAUUAGAGAGCGGACUAGUCAGAAUACUGAUGGUCGCGUAAAUCAUUAAUAUUUGAUUCUGAGAACUGGUGCAAGAAUUUCAAGUUUGACAUAAAAUUUUAGUUGCUUACUGAUUGCAUGACUAUUUUAAAAUGAACGAUUUUAUUUGCCAAUUACAUAUUUACCACAUAUAUCCUGCAUUGUUUUUUGUCCUAUAAUAAAAUCUUCCCUGUUAUUUACUAGCUUCUAAUAUCUAGGAGCUGCAUAUCUAGUUUCUUUUUCUUUGGAAAUACCUGAUGCCCAGGGAUACUUGAAGCCAAUUCUCUUUUCCCCAGUAAUGGGGGACAGCAAAAACCUGGAAAAACAAAGCCCCAGAUGUUCACUCUAAAUGAUUCAUACUUCUCUUCUACGAUACUUUAGCCAGAGUAGGGAAAAAGUAGAAUAAGUGGACUCAUUGGUGUGUUGUUUCUUUUUACUACAAGUACAUUGAGUAAAUAGCUAAAUGUUUGUAGGAGGAGGAAGAGGAAGUAGAAACAAAACACCUAGAGUAUCCUCCAACAAAAUAAGUCCCUGAUGAAUGGUUGGCUGAUCACGUUUUUCUCCUAUCUUUCAAAAAAAGGAGAUCCCUAGAAAACAUAUUUUCACAAACAAAGCUAUUCUUUUUUCUUCCUGGAUAUAAUAUUUUUCUUACUGAUGUUAAAUAUAAAGCUUCAAUUGUAUUUUAUACUGUCAAAUUAAAUAUUAUGGUGUAUUAGUAUAUUUGCAGAGCCCAGCAGAAAAGCACUGCUCUUCUUUACAUAUGUAUCUCCUUGUCAAAAGAAAAUAUUUAUAGAAUGACAAGGCUGAAGGUGACAGUAAAUUUGACAGUUUUUCCUGUGGAAUUGACAAAUAAUGAAGCUUCAUCAUUGAUGCUUAGUAAACAGGAGAAGAAAGCUUUCCUGUUACGAGAAUUAUCUUUAAAAUUUCUCUUUGACUAGGCAUAGAGCAGUGCAUCAUAGGACAGCAAUGUUAGGUCACAUCAUCCUGCUCAGAAACCUUGAAUGACUUCAGAGUAAAGUGCUAGCUUUUUAGCAUACCAUUCAUAUUCCUUUAAGACCUAGACUUCUUUUUCUCCACACUCAGCCCUAACUUCUUUAUCCAUUGCUUGUUCCUACAGUGAUAAUGGGAAUAGCUGCCAAUCUGUAAACCCAAAGCAUAGUUGAAUAACACUGUGCCAAACCUUAAUCUAAAAUGCACACUCUCAGCUCCAUUUCUUAGCUCAAAUCUGGAUUAGACUAAGUAAGAUUAUUGUGGAAAAAUAAUUUUCUUACCUAAUAAGAGAAUGACUAUGACCAGCUGCACUUUCCUCAUUUUAACUAGCAGAAUCUGAAAAUUGACAGCACAAGAAUAUUUCAGUCCUGUAUAAAAUCAAGGCUCUAUAAUAUAUAUAAAACUCAUAUUUCAAAAGUAGCUACUUAUCACUAGAUUUCUCUUAUAACAUUGAAGUUAUUCUUUCAAAAAUAUGAUUUCCAAAUAUGCAUUCUUGGAAAUUAAAAUUCAAUGUAUUCUUAAUUUCAUGAAUUUCUAUUUUUUGAAAUUAAAGUUCUAAUAAUGUUUAUGAUUUUCUUCCCUCAAUCAUUUGUAGUUGUUUGAUAUGAAACUCUCAUAUAAUAGGUGUUCAAGUAUUUUGGUUCAAUUAUUCCCCCAGAUGACAUCAUCAGCGCUAACUAGCUGAAAAAAAUUAUUUCUCAGUCAUGGUAAGCUUAAG